UCUGUCUGUGUGUAGAAACAAAGCAGUUAUCAUAGUACUGUCUGUCUGUCUGUGUGUAGAAACAAAGCAGUUAUCAUAGUACUGUCUGUCUGUCUGUGUGUAGAAACAAAGCAGUUAUCAUAGUACUGUCUGUCUGUCUGUGUAAACAAAGCAGUUAUCAUAGUACUGUCUGUCUGUCUGUGUGUAGAAACAAAGCAGUUAUCAUAGUACUGUCUGUCUGUCUGUGUGUAGAAACAAAGCAGUUAUCAUAGUACUGUCUGUCUGUCUGUGUGUAGAAACAAAGCAGUUAUCAUAGUACUGUCUUACUGUCUGUCUGUCUGUGUGUAGAAACAAAGCAGUUAUCAUAGUACUAUGCAACAACAUGUUAAUACAGCCCAUUUUCUCUGAGAUGCUUAAUGCUUGGUCCUGGACAAACCUUUCCAUGAUUUAACAAAAU
This is a long non-coding RNA of Oncorhynchus keta (chum salmon), 436 nucleotides long. RefSeq lists it as uncharacterized. The transcript has 3 exons. The record is from RefSeq and is a predicted model, not a curated record. Lineage: Eukaryota; Metazoa; Chordata; Actinopteri; Salmoniformes; Salmonidae.